RNAcentral lists this ribosomal RNA (468 nucleotides) under uncultured bacterium. RNAcentral's name for it is "partial 16S ribosomal RNA". It matches the Rfam family "Bacterial small subunit ribosomal RNA", at positions 28 to 507 of the family's 1533-position model. The record is from RNAcentral.
GACGAACGCUGGCGGCGUGCCUAACACAUGCAAGUCGAACGGAAAGACCCUGCUUUUGCGGGGUUCUCGAGUGGCGAACGGGUGAGUAACACGUGAGUAACCUGCCCCUGACUUUGGGAUAACAUCAGGAAACUGCGGCUAAUACCGGAUAGGAGCUCCUGCAGCAUGGUGGUGGUUGGUAAGUUUCGGCGGUUGGGGCUGGACUCGCGGCUUAUCAGCUUGUUGGUGGAGUAGUGGUGUACCAAGGCUUUGACGGGUAGCCGGCCUGAGAGGGUUGCCGGCGACAUUGGUACUACGGUACGGAGCAGACUCCUACGUGCGGCAGCAGUGGGAAAUAUUACGCAAUAGGGGCAAGCGUGAUGCAGCGGCGCCGCGUGCGGGAUGACGGCUUUCUGGGUGUAAAUCGCUGUCGCAGGAAACGAAGAGUGAGUGACGGUAACGGGUAAAGAAGCACCGGCUAACUACGUG